AUGCUAUUGCGCAUGCGUUAGAAAAUCCAGCGAUGCAGCUCUGCAUGCUUCUACGUCUAGAGACUCUUUCUUUUCUGUUCCUGCUUCUUGUGCGGAUGCACGUGAGAAAGCAUCCUUUUUGUGAUUUCUCUCAAGAAAGCCAUGAGGUAUAACGAUUCCAAAUACUUAGAAAAUUAUCUGAAACUCUGGACACUUGCUCCGGACAUUUCCAGACGUCGUAAAAAAGAGGAUGGAUAGCAACCCUAGGUUGUAAAUCUUGAGGAAAAUGGCAUUUUUUAAAUUGAUUGAAGAUUUAUUAAGUCUCAAAUUUAUAAUCAAAUAGCAAUGAUUAUAGGUUAUAUUGAAGGGGGAAAUCUGGAAAGAAUAAAUCUUGAAAUGGGAAAAUUGUAUCUUGAGAUUCAAUAAAAGGUUAUCUUGAAGAAAAUAGCAUCUUGAGAUUCAAUAAAGGGCCAUAAAGUCUCCAAGGGAAUUAUGAGAGAUAUAUAUGCCAUUAUGAAAUUCUACGGAGGAUGGAAAACGCCAUAUUCCCCGUUCCGAAUUACAGCGAUUUCCGGCAACUGCGCCGGGCUGUUCAACGUUCACGGAGGUGGACCAGAAUCCCGUAGAAAUUAUGACAAUUAGCGCAAUUAAAAUUGGUUCGCGAUUAAUUUGAAUUUGCAUACCACCAUCAUAGUGGCCGCGUAAACACGCGAUAUACAAGACACCAUUUGCAAACAGCAUAUAUAAAUUAAUGUAUCUGUAUUAGAGUAUAUCAUGUACGCACAUCUAUGCGUGUUUUGCUUUCUCAUGAAAAUAUAUUUACAUAGAGUAAGAUGAUUGAAGCUUGAAGAAAA
This is a long non-coding RNA of Pogonomyrmex barbatus (red harvester ant), 833 nucleotides long. Lineage: Eukaryota; Metazoa; Arthropoda; Insecta; Hymenoptera; Formicidae. The record is from RefSeq and is a predicted model, not a curated record.